UUCCAUUUGGGUUUAGACAUGGCUAGUUGAUCCCAAAGAUUAGACAUCAGAGAAUUGAAUUCAGUAAUAGACUAACCUGGAUCUUGUUUCAUCUAAUGAAGAUUCGUGAGAAGUUGGUACUGGUGGGCUACAUCUAUGGAUGAGUAUCUUUGUGCCAAAAAAUUCCAAAGUUUGUUUGCUAUAUCAAACCAUCCGAACAAAACAUUGAUUGAAGUGAUUGAAGUGUUGGUGAUCCAUGUGCUAAUUUUGAAAUUAUUGCUAUCCUAGUCCUCGAGUUGUGUCCGAAAAUCUAUAUCAGAUUUAGUGUCAGCUUUCUUUGGUUUGAAAUUUUCGCCAAUGAUGUAUCACCAGAGUUUGUGGCCUUUCAGAAAAUUCCAUAUGAUUUGAGCCCCA
Molecule: long non-coding RNA, 393 nt
Filed under: Elaeis guineensis (African oil palm)
Lineage: Eukaryota; Viridiplantae; Streptophyta; Magnoliopsida; Arecales; Arecaceae
Description: long non-coding RNA (EGUI_LNC047197)
Source: RNAcentral